CACGAUGUCCUCGAGGCUGGCCCUCGCUGACCGCGGGGGAACGUGCCUCCUGGGUGGCACUGCGCCCAGGGGACAGGCCCGUUCCGUUUGUGCCUUCGCCCACGGCGCGGCGCUCGCAGGAGUCCGCUUCCCACCGGGGACGCGCUCCGGAGGGGGCUCGGGGCGGCCCUGUGCGGUAUUCCGAGGACUCGGGGAUGUCCUCCGGUCGCCGCGAGGUCCCGCCUCCGCGGGCAGUCCCAGAACGCGGACGCGGGUGGCGCGCGGCGGCUGUGAACGUCGCCGCGCGUCCCCGAGCCUGGCGUCCGCAUCCUUCUCCGGGAAGAGCUGCCGUGCCCGGCCCGCUCCACGUCGGGCUUCGACGUCCAAGAGCGCCCCGCUCCCUCCACCCGUCGGCUGCGACGCAGCCUCCGGCUCCCGGCGCCCUCCCCGGGCACGCAGGUCGGCGAGACCAGCCCAGCUCCCGAUGGCGCGGCACGAAGCAAACCCCGCCUGACCGGGGCCCGCGGCGGGCACCACCGAGUCGCGGUCCUCCAGCGUCUAGACCUGCCGGGUGGGAGCGCCGGAAGUAGGCGCGGCGAGCCGGAAGUGGGCAGAGCGCGACGGCCCGAGAUGAAGCCGGCGGUGGACGAGAUGUUCCCCGAGGGCGCCGGUCCCUACGUGGACCUGGACGAGGUGAGGUGGGAGCGUCGGCGUUCUGGCCUAGCGUAGGGGCGGCUGCCGGAAGGCGGGAGCUGGUUCCCCGCCUGGCGACGCCCGCGCGUCUUGGGGACGAGCCUGGCCGGGGCCCGCGGGGUGGGUACCGGAGGGAGGAGAGAACGCAGGGCCAGAUGGUGGAGCGGCACGGAGCGGGCGGGUCCUGCGCAUCCCACUCCCGGGGCCCCGAACCCAGCUCCUGUCAGGUUUUAAGGCCCCUGCGGGAGGCCUCAGGCUCCGAUUUGCUAGGCGGCUGGUCACUUAGCAGAGUUCGGAGUUGGGUUUGGAGUGGGAGAGUAGGAAAAUGGAAUUAGAAAGGAAACUUGAAGAAGGUCUGAAUAAGGCCGGUGGGAUUUACGUGGUGGUGUCUGCGUGGCUUCCUGUAGCGUUGCGUUGGGGAGGCUGGCUGAGAAGGGGGGAGUCUUGGAACCUUGGCAGCAGCCUGAAACGGAGCACGGAGGCGUUUGGCACUUAAGAGUUGAGCACACACCUUCGAGGGUGUAGGGACCAGAGCAGGAACAGGCUCCUGUGGCCAGCCAUCCAGACAGCUACCAUCAGAGGACCCUGCACUGAUCCUUCCCAGGCGACUAAGCAACGGGCAGAAUCCUGAGUGCAUUCUAUUGCCCAGCGGUGGCAGUGACCUGAUUUUGCCACCAGGAGGAGCUUCAGCUGUGGGAGGCUCUGAGGGCACACAAGGGCCAGGGCAGGUCAGCUUCCAAGGGAAAUGGUUGCAUUCUCAAAAGGGAGGGGUCCAGAAUAGUUGCCAGACUGGGGUUGCACAUGCUUGUGGUCUCUGUGCAGUGUCCAGGAGGGGACUGGAGGCUGAACUUGAGGUCCACAGGUGAGUAGUGGCACACAGGGCAAUGGGAAUUCUCUUUUUGAAAGAAAGGGAAAAAUUAAGGAAUGUAGAAUUUUAAAAACUGCUCCUUGAAUUCCCCCUUCACACACAUUCUUUAUUUGCAACUAAAAUUCUUAACUCCACCCUGAGUACUUGCCUGUCACCCCUCACCCUGUUCCUGUUUCCUGGAGGUAUGGGAUGCUAUGACAACUCAAAGCUGUUUUGGGGAAAGAGCUCACAUAACUUGCCUUUCACUCCCCAGGCAGGAGGCAGCACUGGACUCCUGAUGGACUUGGCAGCCAAUGAGAAAGCAGUCCAUGCAGACUUCUUUAAUGGUAAGGGUGCUGGGAUUCUGCAUGCCUGGUUUUAUUUAAAAGUUUUUCCUGUAAGUUAAUACAGUGGGACGAUCUUGUGACCUGAAUAAUUAGGAUCAUGGAAGAGUGAAGCCAAGACACUGCUGUUCUCAGAGUACAGUGCAGAAAUGAUCACACUGGCUGUCGGCCACAUCUGGAGAAGCAUGAAAUUGCUUCCUGUCUCACAUGCCAGGGCCUGAGAUUGAGUACGUGGCAUGAAUGUUAGCACAUGCUAACGGCCAGUUGUGGCUGCCCUGUCACCCUGGACAGGUUCUCUCGGGUGGCUGUACUCUCCUGAUCUUCCCUC
Molecule: long non-coding RNA, 2191 nt
Filed under: Marmota monax (woodchuck)
Lineage: Eukaryota; Metazoa; Chordata; Mammalia; Rodentia; Sciuridae
Source: RNAcentral